RNAcentral lists this ribosomal RNA (549 nucleotides) under uncultured bacterium. Its description in RNAcentral is "bacterial SSU rRNA". It matches the Rfam family "Bacterial small subunit ribosomal RNA", at positions 395 to 941 of the family's 1533-position model. The record is from RNAcentral.
UACCGCGUGUGUGAAGAAGCCUGAGGUUGUAAAGCACUUUCAAUAGGAAGGAAUACCUAUCGGUUAAUACCCGGUAACUGACAUUACCUAUACAAGAAGCACCGGCUAACUCCGUGCCAGCAGCCGCGGUAAUGCGGAGGGUGCAAGCGUAAUCGGAAUUACUGGGCGUAAAGCGUGCGUAGGCGGUUAUUUAAGUCAGAUGUGAAAGCCCUGGGCUUAACCUGGGAACUGCAUUUGAUACUGGAUGACUAGAGUUGAGUAGAGGAGAGUGGAAUUUCAGGUGUAGCGGUGAAAUGCGUAGAGAUCUGAAGGAACACCAGUGGCGAAGGCGGCUCUCUGGACUCAAACUGACGCUGAGGUACGAAAGCGUGGGUAGCAAACAGGAUUAGAUACCCUGGUAGUCCACGCCGUAAACGAUGUCAACUAACCGUUGGGUUCUUUAAGAACUUAGUGGUGGAGCUAACGUAUUAAGUUGACCGCCUGGGGAGUACGGCCGCAAGGCUAAAACUCAAAUGAAUUGACGGGGGCCCGCACAAGCGGUGGAGCAUG